GACUUUCGAUUAGCAUCACGACAAGGGAGUGCUCAUGCCACCAAGUGUUAGCUACUUGGGUGCCUCAAGAUCUGGAGAUCCUAGUGGCCACAAGCUUGGACUCAAUCUUUUUCUGUGGUCUGGCCAGGACCAAGGGGGAGAUAAUUCCAGCAACAAGAGCGUCGCAGUAUCUCCCUGCCUAUGACUUUCGAUCAGCGUCACGACGGGAGUCCUCGUGCCACCAGGUGUUAGGUGCGCGUGCAGCACAAAUCUGGGUUGUGCUGAUCCUCUACGCACAAGUUAGGAACUC
Ixodes scapularis (black-legged tick) is the source of this 289-nucleotide long non-coding RNA. RefSeq lists it as uncharacterized. NCBI's taxonomy places the organism in Eukaryota, Metazoa, Arthropoda, Arachnida, Ixodida, Ixodidae. The transcript is spliced from 3 exons. The record is from RefSeq and is a predicted model, not a curated record.